AGAACGAACGCUGGCGGCGUGCUUAAUACAUGCAAGUCGAACGUGAAGUCUCAGCAAUGGAGAUGGAAAGUGGCGAACGGGUGAGUAACACGUAAGUAAUCUGCCUCUAAGACUGGGAUAACCUUGCCAACGCGGGGCUAAUACCGGAUGUGGUCCCGAUAAUGCAUAUUGUCGGGAUUAAAGGAGCGAUCCGCUUAGAGAUGAGCUUGCGGCCCAUUAGCUAGUUGGUGCGGGUAAUGGCCCACCAAGGCUGCGAUGGGUAGCCGGCCUGAGAGGGUGAUCGGCCACAUUGGGACUGAGAUACGGCCCAGACUCCUACGGGAGGCAGCAGUAGGGAAUUUUGCGCAAUGGGCGAAAGCCUGACGCAGCAACGCCGCGUGAGGGAUGACGGCCUUCGGGUUGUAAACCUCUGUUGAGUGGGAAAAAAGGGUAGCAAUACUUUGAUGGUACCAUUCGAGUAAGCACCGGCUAACUACGUG
RNAcentral lists this ribosomal RNA (479 nucleotides) under uncultured bacterium. Its description in RNAcentral is "bacterial SSU rRNA". It matches the Rfam family "Bacterial small subunit ribosomal RNA", at positions 26 to 507 of the family's 1533-position model. The record is from RNAcentral.